GGGCCUAUGGUAUAGUAGCAACACGCGUCCAUGGCAUGGACGAGUCGCGAGUGCGAUUCUCGCUAGGUCCACCA
RNAcentral lists this transfer RNA (74 nucleotides) under Patescibacteria group bacterium. RNAcentral describes it as "tRNA-Ala". It matches the Rfam family "tRNA". Rfam says of the family: Transfer RNA (tRNA) molecules are approximately 80 nucleotides in length. Their secondary structure includes four short double-helical elements and three loops (D, anti-codon, and T loops). Further hydrogen bonds mediate the characteristic L-shaped molecular structure. tRNAs have two regions of fundamental functional importance: the anti-codon, which is responsible for specific mRNA codon recognition, and the 3' end, to which the tRNAs corresponding amino acid is attached (by aminoacyl-tRNA synthetases). tRNAs cope with the degeneracy of the genetic code in two manners: having more than one tRNA (with a specific anti-codon) for a particular amino acid; and 'wobble' base-pairing, i.e. permitting non-standard base-pairing at the 3rd anti-codon position. The record is from RNAcentral.